RNAcentral lists this long non-coding RNA (579 nucleotides) under Phoenix dactylifera (date palm). RNAcentral describes it as "long non-coding RNA (PDAC_LNC020904)". Lineage: Eukaryota; Viridiplantae; Streptophyta; Magnoliopsida; Arecales; Arecaceae. The record is from RNAcentral.
GUCAUAGUAUGCAUGUGUUCCUUGCCUUAAUAGUUGUACACACUCAAUAUGAAAAUACAUGUGCAUUUGCUCAGAAAAGAAAGUAAUAGAAUAAAUCAAAUGCAAAAAACAAGUUUUUUUUUUUUUUUGUCAAAAUAUUUCCCUCCCCCCAACUUAAACAUUGCAUUGUCCUCAAUGUAAAAAAAAUGCAAGAAAACUAUAUAUGAGAGACAAUAGAGAAAAUAAUAGAGAGAAGAAGAAUACCAUGAGCUGUUGAUUUUCAGAAAAGAAGACCUACAAAAUAAGAAGAAAACUAGAAAUAAAAGAAAAAAAUAAUAAUUCUAACUAAUAUACACAUACCUUGGCCUUCAUGUUCAGUCAUAAGAAGGGGCCCCCAAGGAAAAGGAGUCCUCUUCAUCUGCAAAAUUUUCAAGAAAAGGUUUUAAUCUGUGUCCAUUAACCUUAAAAAUUUUGCCAUCCUGUGGAUUCUCAAUUUCAAUUGCCCCGUGUGGAAAAACAGUUUUUACAAUGAAAGGACCUGUCCAUCUUGAUCGUAACUUUCCAGGAAACAGAUGUAAGCGAGAGUCAUACAAAAGAACU